CAGACAAAUCUUUUUUUUUUAUACAGACUACUGUUUUAUUUACAUAGAUCUCUGAUAAUUCUGCAGUUGUUCCUUUUUUUUAAAAUUGCAUUUUAGGUUUUGGGGUACAUGUGCAGAACAUGCAAGAUAGUUGCAUAGGUACACACAUGGUAGUGUGUUUUGCUGCCUUCUUCCCCUUCACCCACAUUUGGCUUUUCUCCCCAGGCUAUCACUCCUCUGCUCCCUCUUACCGCUGUCCCUCCCCUAUUCCCCCAAUAGUACCCAGUGUGUAGUACUCCCUUCCCUGUGUCCAUGUGUCCUCAUUUUUCAUCAUCCGCCUAUGAGUGAGAAUAUGCGGUAUUUCAUUUUCUGAUCUUGUGUCAGUUUGCUGAGAAUGAUGUUCUCCAGAUUCAUCCAUGUCCCUACAAAGGACACGAACUCACCAUUUUUGAUUGCUGCAUAAUAUUCCAUGGUGUAUAUGUGCCACAUUUUCCCCGUCCAGUCUAUCAUCAAUGGGCAUUUGGGUUGGCUCCAGGUCUUCGCUAUUGUAAACAGUGCUGCAAUGAACAUUCGUGUGCAUGUGUCCUUAUAGUAGAAUGAUUUAUAGUCCUUUGGAUACAUACCCAGUAAUGGGAUUGCUGGGUCAAAUGGAAUUUCUAUUUCUAAGGCCUUCAGGAAUCGCCACACUGUCUUCCACAAUGGUUGAACUAAUUUACACUCCCACCAACCGUGUAAGUGUUCUUAUUUCUCCACAUCCUCUCCAGCAUCUGUUGUCUCUAGAUUUUUUAAUGAUCACCAUUCUAACUGCCGUGAGAUGGUAUCUCAAUGUGGUUUUGAUUUGCAUCUCUCUAAUGACCAGUGAUGAUGAGUAUUUUUUCAUAUGUUUGUUGGCCUCAUGUAUGUCUUCUUUUGUAAAGUGUCUGUUCAUAUCCUUUGUUGGCCUCAUGUAUGUCUUCUUUUGUAAAGUGUCUGUUCAUAUCCUUUGCCCGCUUUUGAAUGGGCUUGUUUGUUUUUUUCUUGUAAAUCUGUUUUAAUUCUUUGUAAAUUCUGGAUAUCAGCCCUUUGUCAGAUGGGUACACUGCAAAAAUUUUUUUCCAUUCUGUUGGUUGCCGAUUCGCUCUAGACUGUUUCUUUUGCCGUGCAGAAGCUGUGGAGUUUGAUUAGGUCCCAUUUGUCUAUUUUGGCUUUUGUUGCCAAUGCUUUUGGUGUUUUGGUCAUGAAGUCCUUGCCUACUCCUAUGUCCUGAAUGGUUUUACCUAGAUUUUCUUCUAGGGUUUUUAGGGUGUUAGGUCUUAUGUUUAAGUCUUUAAUACAUCUGGAGUUAAUUUUAGUGAACGGUGUCAGGAAGGGGCCAGUUUCUGCUUUCUGCACAUAACUAGCCAGUUUUCCCAACACCAUUUAUUAAACAGGGAAUCCUUUUUGCCUCUGUUCUGUACCAUUGGUCUAUAUCUCUGUUUUGGCACCAGUACAAUGCUGUUUUGAUUACUGUAGCCUUGUAGUAUAGUUUGAAGUCCGGUAGUGUGAUGCCUCCCGCUGUAUUCUUUUUACAUAGAAUUGACUUGGCCAUGCGGGCUCACUUUUGGUUCCAUAUGAAGUUGAAGGUGGUUUUUCCCAGUUCUGUGAAGAAGGUCAUUGGUAGCUUGAUGGGGAUAGCGUUGAAUCUGUAAAUUACUUUGGGCAGUACGGCCAUUUUCACGAUAUUGAUUCUUCCUAACCAUGAACAUGGAAUGUUUCUCCAUCUAUUUGUGUCCUCUCUUAUUUCGUUGAGCAGUGGUUUGUAGUUCUCCUUCAAGAGGUCCUUUACAUUCCUUGUUAGUUGUAUUCCUAGGUAUUUUAUUCUCUUUGUAGCAAUUGUGAAUGACAGCUUGUUCUUGAUUUGGCUCUCCUUAAGUCUGUUAUUGGUGUAUAGGAAUGCUUGUGAUUUUUGCACAUCGAUUUUGUAUCCUAAGACUUUGCUGAAGUUGCUUAUCAGUUUCAGGAGAUUUUGGGCUGAGACGAUGGGGUCUUCUAGAUAUACUAUUAUGUUGUCUGCAAAUAGAGACAAUUUGGCUUCCUCCUUUCCUAUUUGAAUACCCUUUAUUUCUUUUUCUUGCCUGAUUGCUCUGGCUAGAACUUCCAGUACUAUAUUGAAUAGAAGUGGUGAGAGAGGGCAUCCUUGUCUAGUGCCAGAUUUCAAAGGGAAUGCUUCCAGUUUUUUCCCAUUCAGUAUGAUAUUGGUUGUUGGUUUGUCGUAAAUAGCUUUUAUUAUUUUGAGAUACGUUCUGUCA
Molecule: long non-coding RNA, 2246 nt
Filed under: Callithrix jacchus (white-tufted-ear marmoset)
Lineage: Eukaryota; Metazoa; Chordata; Mammalia; Primates; Cebidae
Description: lncRNA (ENSCJAG00000065651.2)
Source: RNAcentral